RNAcentral lists this long non-coding RNA (2147 nucleotides) under Strongylocentrotus purpuratus (purple sea urchin). RNAcentral's name for it is "uncharacterized LOC115921045". Lineage: Eukaryota; Metazoa; Echinodermata; Echinoidea; Camarodonta; Strongylocentrotidae. The record is from RNAcentral.
AACAAGAAAAUACCGAGCAAAAGGAUUUUCUGUUUUCACGAAGUGACGGCCAAGUACGCGCUUAACAGCCGUCAAUUCGUGAAAACAUCGUUUGCUCUUUUCCUGCUUUUAAUAUUUUCACGAAGUGACGGUAGUGAAAAUUUCGCAGUUUGGAACAGUCACAGACCAUGAAAAGUUUCAGAUGCAGUAGAUACAAUUUUCACUUGUAUGAAGGAAGCACUGGGAAAGUACAUCUACUUUUCAAGAAUGCCACAGGCCAGAAACAAAUCCAGAUUGGAUACGGGGACCGACAUGCUGGUAAGAUGGGUCCUUGAUAAUUCACUGAACACAGAGCUGGGAUUGUGACUUGGCAUAGUGACCUAAGAGUGGGAGCGGUAUGGAAUCGUUGAAGCAAUUCACCGAACACGUACAGUCAGAGCUGCAUGUGUGACUUGGCAUGGUGACCCUUAAAGUCUCCUGACGGCUCCGAUUGCGAUUCUGAUGAUGACCCAUUGUCUAUGCUUCUGAGCGAGUCAAAAGUCUAGAUAAAGGAUCUUCGCUGCUUCAACCACUAUUGCUUGGAUGACAUACGUGUGAAGAAACUUGAAGAACUGUUGUUGAAGAGCAUGCUUGAGAAACUAGAAUCAAUUACAUGAUCGUUUUGACAAUGCUUCAAUGUUUCAAUACCUCAAUCUCUCUUUUAUACUGUUUUAUUUUAAACAUUUUAAAUAUCAUAAACAAAGCAAACACCACUCAUAAUUGUAAUCGUGUGUUGUAAUCGCAAUGAAAUGGAUUGAUUAUAAAAUCAAUGAAUUGAUUAAAGGCAAACUGGUAACAUUGUCCAUGAUUUCUGAAACAAUGAACUGAAUAGUCGUACAGGUGUCAGUUUUCUGUUACAGUAUUGCAAUGAACUCCUGCACACAUAAAUCUUUAUUAUUCAAAUGUAUAGCUCAGAACAGCUAUUUAUCGGGUAUACCUACCUCGAUCAGUAAUGCAUAUUAGAGUUUUCGAUUCCAGUUCCAUGAAUCCUCAUAUCGUAUCUUUGUAUUGAAGAAUUUGUUUAUCUAUUUUCUUUAAAUGUUUGUAUUCACAGGGGUUGAUGCCUUCAUUAGAACAUGAAUAUAAGUUACAUUUCCACAAUUGAUUUUUCUUUCAAAACACAAUGUUACUAGUUCACAUUUAAUGUUUAUAUUUUUACUUCUAUAGUCAUUCUCAUCAUAAUUGUAUUUGGUACUUCAAACUAUCUUAUAAUCAUACAAUAUAAUGUUGCUGUUUUGAAUUUUAUCUGUUUGAUGAGAAAUGAAAUUGUUUAGUCAAAUUGAUAUUUCCAUGUUUAUCAUGCAUUGUUCAGCUGAUAAUUGUUUAGUCAGAGAUUACGUGUUUGGUAAACUUUGUAGCGUUUGAGACUGUGUACUAAAUUUUAUUGAAAUACCCUAGAAAGAGAUUGUGUAAACUGACUUGCUUCUGAAACUCUACUCACAAGAUAUUAAUGAAAAACAGUAAUGAACAAAAAAGUAAUGAUCAUGAUUAUAUUAGUCAUAUUUCCCAUUGCCUCGUUUUGUUACGAUCAACAUGUAAACCUUUCAGCCAGAACAGGAUAACCAUGGCGUGCAAGAAAGAGACUAUACCACACAGUACUGUUUUGAAUACCUCUUUUGUCUUCAGGUAAAAAAAAUCUGUGCAGAUGAACCUUUAAAAAAAAAGAGUUUAUUUAGUAACCAGUAUAUUUCAGCAUGCUAAUGAUGUAAAAUUUCUUAUUCAUUUUUUUUUGGAAUGGUAUUUUGAAUAUAGAUUUAUUUCUUUGUUGACUUCAUCAUACAUGUAGUACAUGUAUGUCAAGCAUUUUGUAUGUCACAUGUGGCAUUUAUUUGCUAUGAUUGCUGAAUAAACAUGAUAACCAGGACAUGUAUGAAGAAUAAGUUAAAGACAUUUUUAGCAUAUUUAGUACUGUAUAAUGUGCUAAAUAACCUUUGUAUUCCGUGGCUGUAUACCUGAUGAGUCUUUUCCACAAAUCCCUAAAUGUACAUUUCAAAAUGCAAUAUAGUAUUGAUGAUAAUUGAUGAUGAUAUGUUUGGUAUGAAUUAUUUAAUAUUUUUUAUUUAUUCUCCAUUUGCCACUUGCUGUUCUGGUUCCAAAUGUUUGAAUUAAAACUGCUCAGUCGAAAUUCA